GAUGAACGCUGGCGGCGUGCCUAAUACAUGCAAGUCGAGCGAACAGACGAGGAGCUUGCUCCUCUGACGUUAGCGGCGGACGGGUGAGUAACACGUGGAUAACCUACCUAUAAGACUGGGAUAACUUCGGGAAACCGGAGCUAAUACCGGAUAAUAUAUUGAACCGCAUGGUUCAAUAGUGAAAGACGGUUUUGCUGUCACUUAUAGAUGGAUCCGCGCCGCAUUAGCUAGUUGGUAAGGUAACGGCUUACCAAGGCAACGAUGCGUAGCCGACCUGAGAGGGUGAUCGGCCACACUGGAACUGAGACAAGGUCCAGACUCCUACGGGAGGCAGCAGUAGGGAAUCUUCCGCAAUGGGCGAAAGCCUGACGGAGCAACGCCGCGUGAGUGAUGAAGGUCUUCGGAUCGUAAAACUCUGUUAUUAGGGAAGAACAAAUGUGUAAGUAACUAUGCACGUCUUGACGGUACCUAAUCAGAAAGCUACGGCUAACUACGUG
RNAcentral lists this ribosomal RNA (497 nucleotides) under uncultured bacterium. RNAcentral describes it as "partial 16S ribosomal RNA". It matches the Rfam family "Bacterial small subunit ribosomal RNA", at positions 28 to 507 of the family's 1533-position model. The record is from RNAcentral.